GGGGGCGUAAAGGUUUCGACGGGGAUUUUGAUUACAGGUAAGCGGGUAGAGACGGUAUGACCUCUUUAAAAUAUACCAGACUUAAAUAAUAAACGAUAACAAUAGUUACGCUAUUGCUGCCUAAGUGCAGCACGUCCCUCCGUUGAGCACCACGGCUUCGGUCCGGGCGUCAUUCAGUGGUAAAUGUGAACUGUGAGUUUGCCUUUAUAACAGUCACACACAAAACGGCUGCUUUGUUUUGUCUUUUGUCGGUUCAGACUCUAUAAAAGCAUAAAUUAAAAUCGACUUCACCCGAAGAAAGCCUGUCGGAUGAGUUUUCGGACAGGGGUUCGACUCCCCUCGCCUCCACCA
RNAcentral lists this transfer-messenger RNA (351 nucleotides) under human gut metagenome. It matches the Rfam family "transfer-messenger RNA". Rfam says of the family: Bacterial tmRNA, also known as 10Sa RNA or SsrA, is named for its dual tRNA and mRNA-like properties. Its role is to liberate the mRNA from a stalled ribosome. The record is from RNAcentral.